This 72-nucleotide transfer RNA is filed under the name Dipodomys ordii (Ord's kangaroo rat). It matches the Rfam family "tRNA". Rfam says of the family: Transfer RNA (tRNA) molecules are approximately 80 nucleotides in length. Their secondary structure includes four short double-helical elements and three loops (D, anti-codon, and T loops). The record is from Rfam by way of RNAcentral. Lineage: Eukaryota; Metazoa; Chordata; Mammalia; Rodentia; Heteromyidae.
GGGAAGGUGGCUCAGUAGUAGAGCGCUUGCCUUGCAUGCAAGAGGCCUUGGGUUUGAUUCCUCAGCAUCGCA